RNAcentral lists this ribosomal RNA (253 nucleotides) under uncultured bacterium. RNAcentral describes it as "partial 16S ribosomal RNA". It matches the Rfam family "Bacterial small subunit ribosomal RNA", at positions 524 to 776 of the family's 1533-position model. The record is from RNAcentral.
CACGUAGGGUGCAAGCGUUGUCCGGAUUUAUUGGGCGUAAAGAGCUCGUAGGCGGCUUGUCGCGUCUGCCGUGAAAGUCCGGGGCUCAACCCCGGACUUGCAGUGGGUACGGGCAGACUAGAGUGUGGUAGGGGAGACUGGAAUUCCUGGUGUAGCGGUGAAAUGCGCAGAUAUCAGGAGGAACACCGAUGGCGAAGGCAGGUCUCUGGACAGUUCCUGACACUGAGGCACGAAGGCCAGGGGAGCAAACGGG